CUCCUCCUCCUAAUUCUCUAACAUCCCCCUUUUCCCACCUUUCUCCAACCUCCCCCACCUCUCUCUUGGACUGCCAGAUUAGGAGGACUCCAGUGAAGUUGGUUUGACCUCUCUGCUCGCUGAUCAUCCCAGAGGUUUGCACUGAAUUCAUUCAGCAGGAUUACUGAGAGGACGCAGCAGAACAAGAGGCCGAAGUUGGGUCUCUGCAGCCGAAGAUUUCCUCCAGCACUGCAAGCAAAAUGGAUUAGAGCAAGAGAGAUUUUCCUGGGCUCUACCCAGAAAGCGGAGAUGAAGGUGAACCGAUAGAGAAGUCCAGGACCUGCUUUACAGCCGGGACAACAGAUACCCCAGAAUUUGGGUCCACAUCAUCCAUGUCAAGGACUCUUGUUACACCAACAGAAGGCAACUAAAAAGCCAUAAGGAGAGAAAAGAUGAAAUAUGAAGCAGCUGUGCAGAAGACACAGAAAAGAAAGCAUUCAUCGAUGGUGGCCUCCAGAUUAGAAUUCCUUCUGCAGGGAGGACAAUAAAAGCAAAGCGAACAACAUUCCAAUAUGCAUUGAGAAGAAAGAUGAGGAUUUGACAGAGGAGCUCAGAGAAAUUAAGCUGUUAGCUAAUGAACUCAUGCAUUCAUGGUGAAUAGGAAAAGACAGUGCCUGAGGCUUCUGACUUAAGUGUCCAACAAUAAUCAGCCAGUAUUGAUGGAUUCCAGUUGCCCUGAUACCGUUGCUCCAUGACUGCAAUAUCCCGGUGAAACCUUUCACCAUGAUCAUCACUGACAGCGCCAACAUUUGCAGGGAAGAAGUCUACAUGGGAAUGCAGAAAAUGAAUCUUUAGUGACACGUUGCUUUUCAUGGUUUCGUAUGCUUGAAGCAUGUUGUCAACCAGCUGCAUUAAGUUCAGUGCUCUGAAGUUGUCAAGAAAACUUUCAACAACAUCUUUGAAUGCUGUCCAUUUGUUUUCUCCAGUCCCACCAGAGGUACUUCACGUUGCCUGUCAUUGAUAACCUGUUUGAUUUGUGGAUCAACAAAAACACCUUCCUUAAUCUUGGCAUCAGUUAAUCUGGGAAACAUCUGUCUCAAAUAUUGAAAUCCUUCAUGGAAAUGUAUUGCCUUUCUAAAACCUGUCCUGCCAUGCAGCAUCCACCCUGCCUGAGCAAGAUAGAAAACAUUUCAGCUUAUAUGGUGAGCAACAUUUUAACUAACUUGAAUUGUGUAUUGAAAUAACAAAUAUAGGCGAUUUUUAAAAAUGGUGCAUGAUACGGAAAUUUCAUGGUGAUUUUCAUGAUCAGCAGUCCAAAAUCCAGAAGAUGCAUCUAAAAGUAUUCAGGAAGCAAACUCUUUGAUUUCCAGUACUACCACCCUCUGCUUCAUAACUCCAAGCCAAUUUAAGAGAGUAGUGUUGUCCCAGCAGCCUGACCCGAUCAGCACCCCUCCCAGAACAAACUCUAGUCAUCUACACUGUAUGUCACCGUCAAACUUUGUCUUUACAACAAAACCAAGUGGGCACAGCAGAAGACUGUGAACAUUGUAAGGUCAUUUGUUCUUGAAGUACUGUGAUACCUAUUAAAGCAUGACUUUUUUAAUCAACAGGAUUAUAUUUUAAUAUUUUUUGAAACCCCAGGAUGAAACACAGCUAGUGGCCAAAAGCUUUUGACAAGACUAAAUGGCUUCUUUGUACCUGUUCCUAUUUUGUGGGGUGGCACGGGCAGCGUAGUAGUUAGCACAAUGCUUUACAGUGCAGGUACACUGGGUUCAUUUCCCGCUGCUGCCUGUAAGGAGUUUGUACAUUCUCCCCGUGACUGUGUGUGUUUCCCCCCACAUUCCGAAGCUGUACUGGUUGAUAGGCUAACUGGUCAUUGUAAAAUACCCUGUAAGUAGGCUGGGAUCAAAUUGGGGGAUUGCUGGAUGGCACAGCUCGAAGGGCCUAAUCUGUGCUGUAUCUCAAUAAAUAAAUAGAUUUGUACAACAAAAUUCCAUUACCACAGAAGAGACGUGAAAAGUCCUGAUGAAGGAUCUCAGUCCAAAACAUUGGCUCUUUAUUCCUUUAUUCCUCCGUGAUGCCAUCUGACCUGCUAAGCCCCUCCAG
This is a long non-coding RNA of Hypanus sabinus (Atlantic stingray), 2085 nucleotides long. RefSeq lists it as uncharacterized. Lineage: Eukaryota; Metazoa; Chordata; Chondrichthyes; Myliobatiformes; Dasyatidae. The transcript has 6 exons. The record is from RefSeq and is a predicted model, not a curated record.